GCACUUCGUCGUUAAGGAACCGUUGAAAU
This 29-nucleotide small RNA is filed under the name Bombyx mori (domestic silkworm). RNAcentral's name for it is "ovarian small RNA-16451". The record is from RNAcentral. Lineage: Eukaryota; Metazoa; Arthropoda; Insecta; Lepidoptera; Bombycidae.